AACGAACGCUGGCGGCAUGCCUAACACAUGCAAGUCGAACGAGACCUUCGGGUCUAGUGGCGCACGGGUGUGUAACGCGUGGGAACCUGCACUUAGGUUCGGAAUAACUCCCCGAAAGGGGUGCUAAUACCGGAUAAUGUCUUCGGACCAAAGAUUUAUCGCCUUUGGUUGGGCCCGCGUUGGAUUAGCUAGUUGGUAGGGUAAAAGCCUACCAAGGCGACAAUCCAUAGCUGGUCUGAGAGGAUGAUCAGCCACACUGGGACUGAGACACGGCCCAGACUCCUACGGGAAGCAGCAGUGGGGAAUAGUGGACAAUGGGCGGAAGCCUGAUCCAGCAAUGCCGCGUGAGUGAUGAAGGCCUGAGGGUUGUAAAGCUCUUUUACCCGGGAUGAUAAUGACAGUACCGGGAGAAUAAGCGCCGGCUAACUCCGUG
This 433-nucleotide ribosomal RNA is filed under the name uncultured bacterium. Its description in RNAcentral is "partial 16S ribosomal RNA". It matches the Rfam family "Bacterial small subunit ribosomal RNA", at positions 29 to 507 of the family's 1533-position model. The record is from RNAcentral.